GGUUCGAUCAUAAGCUCAAGUUGAACGCCUUUGGCGGAUGCUACAUGCAAGUCGAACGCAGCACGGACUUCGGUCUGGUGGCAGUGGCGAACGGGUGAGUAAUGUAUCGGAACGUGCCUAGUAGCGGGGGAUAACUACGCGAAAGCGUAGCUAAUACCGCAUACGCCCUUCGGGAAAGCGGGGGGACCUUCGGGCCUCACUAUUAGAGCGGCCGAUAUCGGAUUAGCUAGUUGGUGGGGUAACGGCUCACCAAGGCGACGAUCCGUAGCUGGUUUGAGAGGACGACCAGCCACACUGGGACUGAGACACGGCCCAGACUCCUACAGGAGAGCAGCAGUGGGGAAUUUUGGACAAUGGGGGAAACCCUGAUCCAGCCAUCCCGCGUGUACGAUGAAGGCCUUCGGGUUGUAAAGCACGGCGGGAAAGAAACGCUCGGGAUAAUACCCCGUGCAACCGACAGCCUGCAGAACCAGCACACCGGCUAACUACGUGCCAGCAGCCGCGGUAACCAUGGUGCAAGCAUUCAAUCGGAAUUACUGGGCGUAAAGCGCAGGCGGUUCGGAAGAAGAAUGCUUAAAUCCGGGCUUAACUUUGGAACUGCAUUUUUAACUACCGAGCUAGAGUGUGUCAGAGGGAGGUGGAAUUCCGCGUGUAGCAGUGAAAUGCGUAGAUAUGCGGAGGAACACCGAUGGCGAAGGCAGCCUCCUGGGAUAACACUGACGCUCAUGCACGAAAGCGUGGGGAGCAAACAGGAUUAGAUACCCUGGUAGUCCACGCCUAAACGAUGUCAACUAGCUGUUGGGCCUUCGGGCCUUGGUAGCGCUAACGCGUGAAGUUGACCGCCUGGGGAGUACGGUCGCAAGAUUAAAACUCAAAGGAAUUGACGGGGACCCGCACAAGCGGUGGAUGAUGUGGAUUAAUUCGGUGCAACGCGAAAAACCUUACCUACCCUUGACAUGUCUGGAAUCGAAGAAGAGAUUUGGGAGUGCUCGCAAGGGAACACAGGUGCUGCAUGGCUGUCGUCAGCUCGUGUCGUGAGAUGUUGGGUUAAGUCCCGCAACAGGCGCAACCCUUGUCGUGUAGUUGCUACGAAAGGGCACUCUAAUGAGACUGCCGGUGACAAACCGGAGGAAGGUGGGGAUGACGUCCAAGUCCUCAUGGCCCUUAUGGGUAGGGCUUCAUACAAUGGUCGGGACAGAGGGUCGCCAACCCGCGAGGGGGAGCCAAUCCCAGGGAAACCCGAUCGUAGUCCGGAUCGCAGUCUGUCGACUGCGUGGGGGUGGAAUCGCUAGUAAUCGCGGAUCAGCAUGUCGCGGUGAAUACGUUCCCGGGUCUUGUACACACCGCCCGUCACACCAUGGGAGUGGGUUUACCGGAAAUGAGUUAGCCUAACCGUAAGGAGGGCGAUUACCACGGUAGGAUUCAUGACUGGGGUGAAGUCGUAGCUGGUGUAG
This 1454-nucleotide ribosomal RNA is filed under the name uncultured Bordetella sp. RNAcentral's name for it is "partial 16S-23S ribosomal RNA intergenic spacer". It matches the Rfam family "Bacterial small subunit ribosomal RNA". The record is from RNAcentral. Lineage: Bacteria; Pseudomonadati; Pseudomonadota; Betaproteobacteria; Burkholderiales; Alcaligenaceae.